This 253-nucleotide ribosomal RNA is filed under the name uncultured bacterium. RNAcentral's name for it is "partial 16S ribosomal RNA". It matches the Rfam family "Bacterial small subunit ribosomal RNA", at positions 524 to 776 of the family's 1533-position model. The record is from RNAcentral.
UACGUAGGGUGCGAGCGUUAAUCGGAAUUACUGGGCGUAAAGCGUGCGCAGGCGGGCUUUUAAGCCAGACGUGAAAUCCCCGGGCUUAACCUGGGAAUGGCGUUUGGGACUGGAAGUCUGGAGUGCGGCAGAGGAGACUGGAAUUCCCGGUGUAGCAGUGAAAUGCGUAGAUAUCAGGAGGAACACCGAUGGCGAAGGCAGGUCUCUGGACAGUUCCUGACGCUGAGGCACGAAGGCCAGGGGAGCAAACGGG